GAUCCUGGCUCAGGAUGAACGCUAGCUACAGGCUUAACACAUGCAAGUCGAGGGGAAACGAUAUUGGAAGCUUGCUUCCGAUAGGCGUCGACCGGCGCACGGGUGAGUAACGCGUAUCCAACCUGCCCAGUCACUUGGGAAUAACCUUGCGAAAGUAAGACUAAUGCCCAAUGACAUUUAUAGAAGGCAAUCUGAAAUGAAUUAAAGAUUUAUCGGUGAUGGAUGGGGAUGCGU
Molecule: ribosomal RNA, 234 nt
Filed under: uncultured bacterium
Lineage: Bacteria
Description: partial 16S ribosomal RNA
Rfam family: Bacterial small subunit ribosomal RNA
Source: RNAcentral